ACAUCAGUCGCCACGGGAAUACGAAGGGUGCAAGCGUUACUCGGAAUUACUGGGCGUAAAGCGUGCGUAGGUGGUGGUUUAAGUCCGUUGUGAAAGCCCUGGGCUCAACCUGGGAAUUGCAGUGGAUACUGGGUCACUAGAGUGUGGUAGAGGAUAGUGGAAUUUCCGGUGUAGCAGUGAAAUGCGUAGAGAUCGGAAGGAACAUCUGUGGCGAAGGCGACUAUCUGGGCCAACACUGACACUGAGGCACGAAAGCGUGGGGAGCAAACAGGAUUAGAGACCCCUGUAGUCCCUGUCUCUUAUAC
RNAcentral lists this ribosomal RNA (305 nucleotides) under uncultured bacterium. Its description in RNAcentral is "partial 16S ribosomal RNA". It matches the Rfam family "Bacterial small subunit ribosomal RNA", at positions 505 to 807 of the family's 1533-position model. The record is from RNAcentral.